This 708-nucleotide ribosomal RNA is filed under the name uncultured Glomeromycotina. RNAcentral describes it as "eukaryotic LSU rRNA". It matches the Rfam family "Eukaryotic large subunit ribosomal RNA", at positions 58 to 632 of the family's 3401-position model. The record is from RNAcentral. Lineage: Eukaryota; Fungi; Glomeromycota.
AAAGAAAAUAACAAUGAUUCCCCUAGUAACUGCGAGUGAAGAGAGACAAGCUCAAAUUUUAAAUCUAUCGGGUUUUACCCGAUCGAGUUGUAAUUUGAAGAAGCGUUCUCUGCGUUUUUGGGUCAGCCCAAGUCCUAUUGAAUGAGGCAUCAUGGAGGGUGAUAAUCCCGUCCGGUUGAUCAUUUGCGUUUUACGAUACGCUUUCUAAGAGUCAAGUUGUUUGGGAUUGCAGCUUAAAAUGGGAGGUAAAUUUCUCCUAAGGCUAAAUAACGGCGAGAGACCGAUAGCGAACAAGUACCGUGAGGGAAAGAUGAAAAGAACUUUGAAAAGAGAGUUAAACAGUACGUGAAAUUGUUGAAAGGGAAACGAUUGAAGCCAGUCGUACCUUCGGGUAAUCAGCCUUUCGGGUGCGAUUCUGUGGAGUGUGAGGAGCUUAACACCUUCAUGCUUUGCAUAUUUGUGCUCUUGGGUGUACUUGCCCGUGUGGUUGGUUAACAUCAAUUUUGAUUAUCAUAAAAUGACUGGAGGAAUGUAGCUUCGAUCUCGUAUUGAAGUGUUAUAGCCUUCGGUAGAUGUGAUGAUCGAGAUUGAGGAUUGCAACGGAUACCCUUCGGGGCUACCUGUCUGGUCUCUGAUCGUUGCUCUGGUGCCGAAAGCGUGCUUACGGUUAUCAAAGUCGAUGGUCAAUAGGUUAGAACGGGUUAAAUU